UACGUAGGGUGCAAGCGUUGUCCGGAAUUAUUGGGCGUAAAGAGCUCGUAGGCGGUUUGUUGCGUCGGCUGUGAAAUCCCGAGGCUCAACCUCGGGUCUGCAGUCGAUACGAGCAAACUAGAGUGUUGCAGGGGAGACCGGAAUUCCUGGUGUAGCGGUGAAAUGCGCAGAUAUCAGGAGGAACACCGGUGGCGAAGGCGGGUCUCUGGGCAACAACUGACGCUGAGGAGCGAAAGCGUGGGGAGCGAACAGG
Molecule: ribosomal RNA, 253 nt
Filed under: uncultured bacterium
Lineage: Bacteria
Description: partial 16S ribosomal RNA
Rfam family: Bacterial small subunit ribosomal RNA
Source: RNAcentral